CCUACGGGUGGCAGCAGUGGGGAAUAUUGGGCAAUGGGCGCAAGCCUGACCCAGCAACGCCGCGUGAAGGAAGAAGGCUUUCGGGUUGUAAACUUCUUUUAUCAGGGACGAAGCAAGUGACGGUACCUGAUGAAUAAGCCACGGCUAACUACGUGCCAGCAGCCGCGGUAAUACGUAGGUGGCAAGCGUUAUCCGGAUUUACUGGGUGUAAAGGGCGUGUAGGCGGGAAAGCAAGUCAGAUGUGAAAACCAUGGGCUCAACCUGUGGGCUGCAUUUGAAACUGUUUUUCUUGAGUACUGGAGAGGCAGACGGAAUUCAGGGGGUAGCGGUGAAAUGCGUAGAUAUUAGGAAGAACACCGGUGGCGAAGGCGGUCUGCUGGACAGCAACUGACGCUGAGGCGCGAAAGCGUGGGGAGCAAACAGGAUUAGAUACCCCGGUAGUC
This 443-nucleotide ribosomal RNA is filed under the name uncultured bacterium. Its description in RNAcentral is "partial 16S ribosomal RNA". It matches the Rfam family "Bacterial small subunit ribosomal RNA", at positions 338 to 795 of the family's 1533-position model. The record is from RNAcentral.